UACGUAGGGGGCAAGCGUUGUCCGGAUUUACUGGGUGUAAAGGGCGCGCAGGUGGGUCGGCAAGUCAGAGGUGAAAGCCUGCAGCUUAACUGCAGAACUGCCUUUGAAACUGCUGAUCUUGAGUUCAGAAGAGAGAAGCGGAAUUCCAGGUGUAGUAGUGAAAUACGUAGAUAUCUGGAAGAACACCGGUGGCGAAGGCGGCUUCUUGGUCUGUAACUGACACUGAGGCGCGAAAGCGUGGGUAGCGAACAGG
RNAcentral lists this ribosomal RNA (253 nucleotides) under uncultured bacterium. Its description in RNAcentral is "partial 16S ribosomal RNA". It matches the Rfam family "Bacterial small subunit ribosomal RNA", at positions 524 to 776 of the family's 1533-position model. The record is from RNAcentral.